GAUGAACGCUAGCUACAGGCUUAACACAUGCAAGUCGAGGGGCAGCAUUUCAGUUUGCUUGCAAACUGGAGAUGGCGACCGGCGCACGGGUGAGUAACACGUAUCCAACCUGCCGAUAACUCGGGGAUAGCCUUUCGAAAGAAAGAUUAAUACCCAAUGGUAUAAUCAGACCGCAUGGUCUUGUUAUUAAAGAAUUUCGGUUAUCGAUGGGGAUGCGUUCCAUUAGGCAGUUGGUGAGGUAACGGCUCACCAAACCUUCGAUGGAUAGGGGUUCUGAGAGGAAGGUCCCCCACAUUGGAACUGAGACACGGUCCAAACUCCUACGGGAGGCAGCAGUGAGGAAUAUUGGUCAAUGGGCGCAGGCCUGAACCAGCCAAGUAGCGUGAAGGAUGACUGCCCUAUGGGUUGUAAACUUCUUUUAUAUGGGAAUAAAGUUUUCCACGUGUGGAAUUUUGUAUGUACCAUAUGAAUAAGGAUCGGCUAACUCCGUGCCAGCAGCCGCGGUAAUACGGAGGAUCCGAGCGUUAUCCGGAUUUAUUGGGUUUAAAGGGAGCGUAGGUGGACAGUUAAGUCAGUUGUGAAAGUUUGCGGCUCAACCGUAAAAUUGCAGUUGAUACUGGCUGUCUUGAGUACAGUAGAGGUGGGCGGAAUUCGUGGUGUAGCGGUGAAAUGCUUAGAUAUCACGAAGAACUCCGAUUGCGAAGGCAGCUCACUGGACUGCAACUGACACUGAUGCUCGAAAGUGUGGGUAUCAAACCAGG
This 761-nucleotide ribosomal RNA is filed under the name uncultured bacterium. Its description in RNAcentral is "bacterial SSU rRNA". It matches the Rfam family "Bacterial small subunit ribosomal RNA", at positions 28 to 777 of the family's 1533-position model. The record is from RNAcentral.